RNAcentral lists this ribosomal RNA (465 nucleotides) under uncultured bacterium. Its description in RNAcentral is "partial 16S ribosomal RNA". It matches the Rfam family "Bacterial small subunit ribosomal RNA", at positions 28 to 507 of the family's 1533-position model. The record is from RNAcentral.
GACGAACGCUGGCGGCGUGCUUAACACAUGCAAGUCGAACGGAAAGGCCCUGCUUGCAGGGUACUCGAGUGGCGAACGGGUGAGUAACACGUGGGUGAUCUGCCCUGCACUUCGGGAUAAGCCUGGGAAACUGGGUCUAAUACCGGAUAGGAGCCAUUUUUAGUGUGAUGGUUGGAAAGUUUUUUCGGUGUAGGAUGAGCUCGCGGCCUAUCAGCUUGUUGGUGGGGUAAUGGCCUACCAAGGCGGCGACGGGUAGCCGGCCUGAGAGGGUGGACGGCCACCUUGGGACUGAGAUACGGCCCAGACUCCUACGGGAGGCAGCAGUGGGGAAUAUUGCACAAUGGGCGCCAGCCUGAUGCAGCGACGCCGCGUGGGGGAUGACGGCCUUCGGGUUGUAAACUCCUUUCGCUAGGGACGAAGCUUUUUGUGACGGUACCUAGAUAAGAAGCACCGGCUAACUACGUG